Dermacentor albipictus is the source of this 836-nucleotide non-coding RNA. Lineage: Eukaryota; Metazoa; Arthropoda; Arachnida; Ixodida; Ixodidae. The record is from RefSeq and is a predicted model, not a curated record.
CGUCUGACUAGACUUUCUGUCGAAGCAAAUAAAAACUAAUUCAGAAGCGAAGCGGCGACUAGGGCGACAGCCAGCGCUUUCUUCUGCACUUCUGGACGCACAUCACGUGACCUAACGGAGAUCUUUUGGCGCGCUUCCGUGCUUCAACCUGUGCCUGGACUACGUACGGUGCCUCAACGCCGAAGGAUUUAUCUGCUUUUGUUACGUGUGUUCGGUGUUAUCUGCGUCGUUCCCUUCGACGAGGGCACGGCGAAAAGCUUCGAGCAACAACGCCCUGUCCCAGGAAAAAGGCACAGCGACGUUCGUCAGGCGAGCAGGAUGCGGCCGCCGCGGCCGAAACCCAACCAGCGACGUCGAGCUCGGCGGCGCAAGGCCACCGCGGCGGGUCCGUCUGGAUGUCUGGCACCCCGGAACGUCACGAUGAGACAUCGCAUUUUAAACAUGGCCGUCCGGCCCCACCACCACCACGACGACGACUAGCUUGCUCAACAGGCGCGUUGGGCGCCGGCUUCCCGGGGCCUCGGCGCGAGACUCCCGAGGAAUUUCCGUGUCCGCCGCCCGCGUCGUGCAAAAAAGCGUUUCGACACCGUCUCGUGAGUCACGCGCUUCCUCGCGUAUAACGUCAAGGGCGCGCGACAUUCGCGUGAUAUCAUGCACAUCGUGGGCAUGAUAAUUGACAUGACAAAUGUCAAUUAUCAUGCCAAUGACAGAUGCCUUCAUUCUUUUGCGAUUUCCGUCUCACAUUGUGACUGUUUUGCUGACUUGCUUUUGCAUUCUAUUCAGUGUGCCUCUUAGCUUUUUGUUGUUGUUUUUGUUUGUUUGUUUUAAUGCGAAUC